GAUGAAGAACGUAGCGAAAUGCGAUAAGUAAUGUGAAUUGCAGAAUUCAGUGAAUCAUCGAAUCUUUGAACGCACAUUGCGCCCGCCAGUAUUCUGGCGGGCAUGCCUGUUCGAGCGUCAUUUCAACCAUCAAGCCCCCGGCUUGUGUUGGGGACCUGCGGCUGCCGCAGGCCCUGAAAACCAGUGGCGGGCUCGCUAGUCACUCCGAGCGUAGUAAUACAUCUCGCUCAGGGCGUGCUGCGGGUUCCGGCCGUUAAAAAGCCUUAUUUACCCAAGGUUGACCUCGGAUCAGGUAGGAAGACCCGCUGAACUUAAGCAUAUAAAUAAGCGGAGGA
RNAcentral lists this unclassified non-coding RNA (335 nucleotides) under soil metagenome. RNAcentral describes it as "partial contains 5.8S ribosomal RNA, internal transcribed spacer 2, and large subunit ribosomal RNA". The stretch from base 1 to 120 matches the Rfam family "5.8S ribosomal RNA", at positions 35 to 154 of the family's 154-position model. The record is from RNAcentral.